This 1493-nucleotide ribosomal RNA is filed under the name metagenome. Its description in RNAcentral is "bacterial SSU rRNA". It matches the Rfam family "Bacterial small subunit ribosomal RNA". The record is from RNAcentral.
AGAGUUUGAUCUUGGCUCAGAACGAACGCUGGCGGCGUGCUUAAUACAUGCAAGUCGAGCGAGAAAGUUCCGCAAGGAAUGAGUACAGCGGCGAACGGGUGAGUAACACGUAAGCAAUCUACCCCUAAAACCGGGACAACCCUGCCAACGCGGGGCUAAUACCGGAUGUGAUCCAGAUGACACAUGUUGUUUGGAUUAAAGGAGUGAUCCGUUUAGGGAUGAGCUUGCGGCCCAUUAGCUAGUUGGUGAGGUAACGGCCCACCAAGGCUACGAUGGGUAGCCGGCCUGAGAGGGUGUACGGCCACAUUGGAACUGAGAUACGGUCCAGACUCCUACGGGAGGCAGCAGUAGGGAAUUUUGGGCAAUGGGCGAAAGCCUGACCCAGCAACGCCGCGUGAAGGAUGAAGGCCUUCGGGUUGUAAGCUUCUGUUGGAUGGGAAAAAAAGGUAGCAAUACUCUGAUGGUACCAUUCGAGUAAGCACCGGCUAACUACGUGCCAGCAGCCGCGGUAAUACGUAGGGUGCAAGCGUUGUUCGGAAUCACUGGGCGUAAAGUGAGCGUAGGCGGAAACUUAAGUUAGGAGUUUUAAUUCUCGGGCUUAACCCGAGGCUGGCUUUUAAUACUGGGUUUCUUGAGUAUGGAAGAGGAUGAUGGAAUUCCAGGUGUAGCGGUGGAAUGCGUAGAUAUCUGGAAGAACACCAGCAGCGAAGGCGGUCAUCUGGUCCAAUACUGACGCUGAGGCUCGAAAGCUAGGGGAGCAAACAGGAUUAGAUACCCUGGUAGUCCUAGCCGUAAACGAUGGACACUAGUUGCUGGAGGAGUCAAUCUUUUCGGUGACGAAGCUAACGCAUUAAGUGUCCCGCCUGGGGAGUACGCUCGCAAGGGUGAAACUCAAAAGAAUUGACGGGGGCCCGCACAAGCGGUGGAGCAUGUGCUUUAAUUCGAUGCAACGCGAAGAACCUUACCUGGGCUUGACAUGGGAGUGAAAGAUUCCAGAGAUGGAAUCCCUUCCGCAAGGAACACUCUACACAGGUGCUGCAUGUUUGUCGUCAGCUCGUGUCGUGAGAUGUUGGGUUAAGUCCCGCAACGAGCGCAACCCUCGCCCUUAGUUGCUAACAGGUUAAGCUGAGAACUCUAAGGGGACCGCCUAGUAUAACUAGGAGGAAGGUGGGGAUGACGUCAAAUCCUCAUGGCCCUUACGUCCAGGGCUAGACACGUGCUACAAUGGUAGAUACAACGGGAUGCAAGCCAGCGAUGGCAAGCUAAUCCCUGAAAAUCUAUCUCAGUUCGGAUUGGAGUCUGCAAUUCGACUCCAUGAAGCUGGAAUCGCUAGUAAUCGCGGAUCAGCAUGCCGCGGUGAAUACGUUCCCGGGCCUUGUACACACCGCCCGUCAAGCCAUGAAAGAUGGCAGUACCCGAAGUCGUUUAUCUAACCGCAAGGGGGAAAACGCCUAAGGUAAGGCCAUUGAUUGGGGCUAAGUCGUAACAAGGUA